This 758-nucleotide ribosomal RNA is filed under the name uncultured Enterobacteriaceae bacterium. RNAcentral describes it as "bacterial SSU rRNA". It matches the Rfam family "Bacterial small subunit ribosomal RNA", at positions 28 to 776 of the family's 1533-position model. Lineage: Bacteria; Pseudomonadati; Pseudomonadota; Gammaproteobacteria; Enterobacterales; Enterobacteriaceae. The record is from RNAcentral.
AUUGAACGCUGGCGGCAGGCCUAACACAUGCAAGUCGAGCGGCAGCGGAAAGUAGCUUGCUACUUUGCCGGCGAGCGGCGGACGGGUGAGUAAUGUCUGGGAAACUGCCUGAUGGAGGGGGAUAACUACUGGAAACGGUAGCUAAUACCGCAUGACCUCGAAAGAGCAAAGUGGGGGAUCUUCGGACCUCACGCCAUCGGAUGUGCCCAGAUGGGAUUAGCUAGUAGGUGAGGUAAUGGCUCACCUAGGCGACGAUCCCUAGCUGGUCUGAGAGGAUGACCAGCCACACUGGAACUGAGACACGGUCCAGACUCCUACGGGAGGCAGCAGUGGGGAAUAUUGCACAAUGGGCGCAAGCCUGAUGCAGCCAUGUCGCGUGUGUGAAGAAGGCCUUAGGGUUGUAAAGCACUUUCAGCGAGGAGGAAGGCAUCAUACUUAAUACGUGUGGUGAUUGACGUUACUCGCAGAAGAAGCACCGGCUAACUCCGUGCCAGCAGCCGCGGUAAUACGGAGGGUGCAAGCGUUAAUCGGAAUUACUGGGCGUAAAGCGCACGCAGGCGGUUUGUUAAGUCAGAUGUGAAAUCCCCGCGCUUAACGUGGGAACUGCAUUUGAAACUGGCAAGCUAGAGUCUUGUAGAGGGGGGUAGAAUUCCAGGUGUAGCGGUGAAAUGCGUAGAGAUCUGGAGGAAUACCGGUGGCGAAGGCGGCCCCCUGGACAAAGACUGACGCUCAGUGCGAAAGCGUGGGGAGCAAACAGG